Molecule: ribosomal RNA, 497 nt
Filed under: uncultured bacterium
Lineage: Bacteria
Description: partial 16S ribosomal RNA
Rfam family: Bacterial small subunit ribosomal RNA
Source: RNAcentral
GAUGAACGCUGGCGGCGUGCCUAAUACAUGCAAGUCGAGCGAACAGAUGAGGAGCUUGCUCCUCUGACGUUAGCGGCGGACGGGUGAGUAACACGUGGAUAACCUACCUAUAAGACUGGGAUAACUUCGGGAAACCGGAGCUAAUACCGGAUAAUAUAUUGAACCGCAUGGUUCAAUAGUGAAAGACGGUUUUGCUGUCACUUAUAGAUGGAUCCGCGCCGCAUUAGCUAGUUGGUAAGGUAACGGCUUACCAAGGCAACGAUGCGUAGCCGACCUGAGAGGGUGAUCGGCCACACUGGAACUGAGACACGGUCCAGACUCCUACGGGAGGCAGCAGUAGGGAAUCUUCCGCAAUGGGCGAAAGCCUGACGGAGCAACGCCGCGUGAGUGAUGAAGGUCUUCGGAUCGUAAAACUCUGUUAUUAGGGAAGAACAAAUGUGUAAGUAACUAUGCACGUCUUGACGGUACCUAAUCAGAAAGCCAUGGCUAACUACGUG